ACGAACGCUGGCGGCAGGCUUAACACCUGCAAGUCGAACGCACCUUUCGGGGUGAGUGGCAGACGGGUGAGUAACGCGUGGGAAUCUACCCUUCUCUACGGGAUAGCUCCGGGAAACUGGAAUUAAUACCGUAUACGUCCUGAGGGAGAAAGAUUUAUCGGGGAAGGAUGAGCCCGCGUUGGAUUAGCUAGUUGGUGGGGUAAAGGCCUACCAAGGCGACGAUCCAUAGCUGGUCUAAGAGGAUGAUCAGCCACAUUGGGACUGAGACACGGCCCAAACUCCUACGGGAGGCAGCAGUGGGGAAUAUUGGACAAUGGGCGCAAGCCUGAUCCAGCCAUGCCGCGUGAGUGAUGAAGGCCCUAGGGUUGUAAAGCUCUUUCAGUGGGGACGAUAAUGACGGUACCCACAGAAGAAGCCCCGGCUAACUUCGUG
Molecule: ribosomal RNA, 432 nt
Filed under: uncultured bacterium
Lineage: Bacteria
Description: partial 16S ribosomal RNA
Rfam family: Bacterial small subunit ribosomal RNA
Source: RNAcentral